This 253-nucleotide ribosomal RNA is filed under the name uncultured bacterium. RNAcentral describes it as "partial 16S ribosomal RNA". It matches the Rfam family "Bacterial small subunit ribosomal RNA", at positions 524 to 776 of the family's 1533-position model. The record is from RNAcentral.
GACAGAGGCCUCAAGCGUUAGGCGGAAUCACUGGGCUUAAAGCGUGUGUAGGCGGGUCGUUAAGUACCUUGUGAAAUCCCACGGCUCACCCGUGGAACUGCUGGGUAUACUGGCGAUCUUGGGCCAUUUAGGGGCAACUGGAACAAGCGGUGGAGCGGUGAAAUGCGUAGAUAUCAGGAGGAACACCAAUGGCGAAGGCAGCCCCCUGGGCUAACACUGACGCUCAUGCACGAAAGCGUGGGGAGCAAACAGG